CCCUACUUGUACUCCUUUCAAACAGAGCCCCGACUGAAGACCGGUGCCGGCAACUCGGCGAGUCAGCGAUGGAGAAGCCCGAAGGCCAGCGCAAAAAGGGUGCCGUUAAAGCGGUUGUUUCACGUAGCAUCGAUGGGUUCGGAUGGACGCCCUACGAAUCUCGGAAUUCCGCACUCAUGAAUCAGCGUCCUGUGCCUUUGUGACCUCUUCUCCGGUCUACUGGUCCAGGCCCUGGUAGGGCACAUGAGCGACCGGUGCAAGAGUCGGUUCGGCCGUCGCAGGCCUUUCAUCGCUGCCGGAGAGGUGUCUAUGACUGUUGCCGUUCUGAUUAUUGGACACUUCGCGGACAUCGGUCGGAUACACGGGGGCGGAGGGGAGUCGAGGGCGUGCGCCGUCGUUUAUUUUGUUUUAGGGUUUUGGUUGCUUGAUGCCGCUAAAAACAUGACCCACGAUAACCCAAGACCUUGCAGUUGCAGGGCUCGUCUUGCCAAUCACAUCGGAACAGUUGCAGCCUUUGUCAGUGGACUUGUGGCCAUAUGGGCGCUAUCUCAAUCUCACAAGAGAACCCUAGGAUUCAUCUCUAAGGUGUUAAAAUGUUUUUUUUUUUUUCUUUUAAUUUAUUUUUUUAAACAGCUAUUCAUCAUUGCAGCCACUAAAUGACAUGGAAACGGGAAAUAUGUUCCUCGUUAAAGGAAAAUUGUGAAUGUUUAUUGUUAAAUCUGUAGUUCUUAAUAAAAUCAAUAUCUUUUUUA
Nelumbo nucifera (sacred lotus) is the source of this 752-nucleotide long non-coding RNA. RefSeq lists it as uncharacterized. NCBI's taxonomy places the organism in Eukaryota, Viridiplantae, Streptophyta, Magnoliopsida, Proteales, Nelumbonaceae. The record is from RefSeq and is a predicted model, not a curated record.